CCCGAUAGUAGCUGCUACCUUGACGUGGUGGUCGGACUUGCCUAUCGUGAUGACUCAAACGAGCUAUAUUGGCCAUAACGCAUAUUCCUUUAGGUCUUACCAUACCAAGCAGGUCAGUCGGAGAGCGGUAAGACUAAGAGCAGC
RNAcentral lists this non-coding RNA (144 nucleotides) under Schistosoma mansoni. Lineage: Eukaryota; Metazoa; Platyhelminthes; Trematoda; Strigeidida; Schistosomatidae. The record is from RNAcentral.